RNAcentral lists this ribosomal RNA (335 nucleotides) under uncultured bacterium. RNAcentral's name for it is "bacterial SSU rRNA". It matches the Rfam family "Bacterial small subunit ribosomal RNA", at positions 28 to 334 of the family's 1533-position model. The record is from RNAcentral.
GACGAACGCUGGCGGCGUGCCUAACACAUGCAAGUCGAACGAAGCAUUUGGAGCUGAUCUCUUCGGAGUGACGCACCUUAUGACUUAGUGGCGGACGGGUGAGUAACACGUGAGCAACCUGCCUUUCAGAGUGGAAUAACAGUUGGAAACGGGUGCUAAUACCGCAUAGUUUCUUUUUCCGCCUGGAAGAAGAAGGAAAGAUGGCCUUUGCGCUAUCACUGAGGGAUGGACCCGCGGCGUAUUAGUUAGUUGGUGGGGUAAUGGCCUACCAAGACGAUGAUACGUAGCCGACCUGAGAGGGUGAUCGGCCACAUUGGGACUGAGACACGGCCCAA